GCAAAAAUGGCAAAUUGGUUUCCUUUGACUAAUCCAACUUAGCAUUUCCAUUAGCAAGGAUAAACAGAAGUAUAAGAGACAUUUUGCUGUCAUUUCUGAACCCUAGAAGCAGCAGCCACAGACCAAAACACUCUGAUUCUCUCACUCUUGCAUUUUGCAUUUUGAGAAUUUCUGUCAAAUCCUCCAAACCCUCGAGCUUCC
Molecule: long non-coding RNA, 201 nt
Filed under: Lathyrus oleraceus (garden pea)
Lineage: Eukaryota; Viridiplantae; Streptophyta; Magnoliopsida; Fabales; Fabaceae
Description: Pisum sativum (pea) long non-coding RNA (PSAT_LNC012087)
Source: RNAcentral